This 249-nucleotide long non-coding RNA is filed under the name Brassica rapa (field mustard). RNAcentral's name for it is "long non-coding RNA (BRAP_LNC005082)". The record is from RNAcentral. Lineage: Eukaryota; Viridiplantae; Streptophyta; Magnoliopsida; Brassicales; Brassicaceae.
UUAAAUAUGUUGGUUGUGAUAUUUUGUGAUAUUAUUUUUAAAAAUAAAUUUAAUAUAUUUGUGAUAUUUUGUUCAAAAUGUUGGUUGUGUUAAAAGAACUUUUACCUUUUUUCACUGAAAUAUUUUUUUCAAAAUAUUAGACACAUUAAACAAGAACUAAAAAAUAUAAAACAUAAAAUAUAUAGUACUAUAUUUUAAUUUUAAAAAAUAAAAUAAAAAUACCAUUCAAGUUUUAAAAAAUUUAAAAAA